Molecule: ribosomal RNA, 497 nt
Filed under: uncultured bacterium
Lineage: Bacteria
Description: partial 16S ribosomal RNA
Rfam family: Bacterial small subunit ribosomal RNA
Source: RNAcentral
GAUGAACGCUGGCGGCGUGCCUAAUACGUGCAAGUCGAACGCAUAGCGAAAGGUGCUUGCACCUUUCAAGUGAGUGGCGAACGGGUGAGUAACACGUGGACAACCUGCCUCAAGGCUGGGGAUAACAUUUGGAAACAGAUGCUAAUACCGAAUAAAACUUAGUGUCGCAUGACACAAAGUUAAAAGGCGCUUCGGCGUCACCUAGAGAUGGAUCCGCGGUGCAUUAGUUAGUUGGUGGGGUAAAGGCCUACCAAGACAAUGAUGCAUAGCCGAGUUGAGAGACUGAUCGGCCACAUUGGGACUGAGACACGGCCCAAACUCCUACGGGAGGCUGCAGUAGGGAAUCUUCCACAAUGGGCGAAAGCCUGAUGGAGCAACGCCGCGUGUGUGAUGAAGGCUUUCGGGUCGUAAAGCACUGUUGUAUGGGAAGAACAGCUAGAAUAGGAAAUGAUUUUAGUUUGACGGUACCAUACCAGAAAGGGACGGCUAAAUACGUG